Theobroma cacao (cacao) is the source of this 2812-nucleotide RNA transcript. It is a transcript of the gene named F-box/kelch-repeat protein At1g26930-like, with no coding region annotated. The record is from RefSeq and is a predicted model, not a curated record. NCBI's taxonomy places the organism in Eukaryota, Viridiplantae, Streptophyta, Magnoliopsida, Malvales, Malvaceae.
UUUUUUUCGGAAAACAAAAUUAAAAAAAAUGUUUUUGGGAGAGAGAGAGAGAGAAGGGAGGGGGGGCGGAGGGGAAGUUUAAGAGAGAUAAAGGGGACCUCUUCAAGAUUUUGCUCUCGCAAAGCCAAAACCAAAGCUCCCUCGCUCUGAUCUGCAGCGAGAAUCCAAAGGACAAGCACAGCCAGCCUAUAGCGAAAGAGAAACCAAAACCAAAACAAAAAACAAACAAAAAAAAGGAUUAAACGAAGAAAAGAACGAGAACGCGAAGAACAGAAAGAGCAAAGUGAAAGCAAAGCAAAGGCAAAAAAAAAAAAAAGAGAGAAAAGAAAAAGAGAAGAAAUUCAUUUCCAUUUCCUUUUUCUUCACAAUUCUUCCUUCUUAUCCAAUCAGUUGAAUUUGUUAAUCUUGACCGCGGUUCUUUUUUUUCCGAGGGGGGAGCGGGGGUGACGGACUAAAGCUUCUGGUGUCACAGUGAUUUGAAUAUAUAUAUAUUUUCUUCCCCCAUUGUUGUUUUCGGAUUUCCCCCGUUUGAAUUCGGGUGGGGCGGAAGAGUCAUGUUGGAGAACCGGUCCUGCGAGUCGUGUUUGGUGUUUGCAAGCUCUUGUCAAAAGGAAAACAAGUGGGCUUACAUGUACCAUGGGAAGCGUCCGCUGGAAUUGGCCGAAUCCGACGGUUGUUCACGGGAAACCAAGAUGUCUAAGCUCUCUUCCGAUGAUUCCUCCGGCGACGAUAAUAAUAAUAAUAAUAGUAAUACGUCUUCCCCACAAGACUCGCGUGACCUCCUCUUGCCUGAUUCACGUGAGCAAUCCGACGACGAUAGUAGGCAAUCUGAUUCUUCUUGGGAUUUGGAUUCGUCGCUUAGCCACCACCAUCCCAUUGGACUAGACCGAACAGAUUCGAAUAACCAAUCAGAGGACGACAGCCUGUCAGAUUCUGUGGAGGACUCACCGGAGGAACAGUCUGAGGAAGAUGGUGAUGAUAAUGGCUUUUCAGAGAAUCCUGAGGAGGAGGACGAGGAGGAGGAGGAUGGUGACCAGAGACAUGCUGGUGAGGAUUUGGAUCAAUUAAUCCAACCAAUUGGGAGAGACAUCUCAAUCAGUUGUCUAAUUAGGUGCUCAAGGUCUGAUUAUGGUUCCAUUGCCUCGUUGAACCGGAGUUUUCGGUCCUUAAUUAGGAGUGGAGAUAUCUAUAGGUUGAGGAGGGAGACUGAUGUGGUUGAACAUUGGGUUUACUUUUCUUGUGACCUCUUUCAGUGGGAGGCAUUUGAUCCGAUUCGACUCAGGUGGAUGCAUUUGCCAAGGAUGCCUCCUAAUGAAUGUUUCAUUUACUCGGACAAGGAAUCCUUGGCUGUGGGAACUGAGUUGCUUGUAUUUGGAAAGGAGGUAACUUCUCAGGUUAUAUAUAGAUAUAGUAUUUUGACAAACUCAUGGACUUCUGGGACCAGUAUGAAUGCUCCGAGGUGCUUGUUUGGAUCAGCUAGUCUUGGUGAGAUUGCGAUUUUGGCUGGUGGUUGUGAUUCUCAGGGAAAUAUCCUGAGCUCUGCUGAAAUGUACAAUUCUGAGACUCAGAGGUGGGAGACUCUCCCAAGCAUGAAUAAGCCAAGGAAGAUGUGUAGUGGGGUAUUUAUGGAUAAGAAAUUCUAUGUAAUUGGGGGAACUGGUGGAUUGGGAAAUGAUGCAAGGGUUCUCACUUGUGGUGAGGAAUAUGAUUUAGAGACAAGAAGGUGGACUGAAAUUCCUAACAUGUCUCCUGGAAGUAAUGCAGCGGCUGGUGAGGCUGAGAUGCCUGCAGCAACUGGGGCACCCCCUCUUGUUGCAGUAGUAAAUAAUGAACUGUAUGCUGCUGAUCAUGCUGACAUGGAGGUAAAAAAGUACGAUAAGGAGAGUAGAACAUGGUUGACUGUUGGAAGAUUGCCUGAAAGAGCAGUUUCAAUGAAUGGUUGGGGUCUUGCAUUCAGAGCAUGUGGAGAUCACCUUAUAGUGAUUGGUGGACCUAGGAAUUUGGGUGAAGGUUUUAUAGAGCUCAAUUCGUGGGUUCCAAGCGAAGGGCCACCGCAAUGGAACUUGCUAGCCAGAAAGCAAUCGGGUAACUUUGUGUAUAAUUGUGCUGUGAUGGGAUGCUGAGAGAUGAACUUUGGUGGCAUUGUGUGCAGUUGAAUGGUGCCGCACUGCCACUGGGGUUUACAUGAUUGGUUUCUCCUCCAACACAGAAUUCUUGCUAAUGUGGAUGCUCCAGCCUUGAUCUUUGCAAAUUUAUUGAUAGCAUGGCGACCGUCUAUUUUAUGAAAUAUCUCUUUGGAGUAGUUCAGAGCAUGUUCUGCAAUGAUGGAAAUCUCAGUUUUCAUGGUUUUAGGAAGACCAUGUAUGUCUCAAAGAAUAUGUCAUAAAGUGAAUAUCAAGGUUUCACUUAGUGUGUGAAACUACAAGUAAACCAGCAAUAACAGCAUAAGAAACAGUGUGAUGUACCGCUAAUAUGACAUUUUCGCUGCGACUCUGUUGGGGGGGUUGCAAAAGAAGUUUUUCUUUUAGAAGCCAUGUUUCAACAAGAUAUUAUAUACAUACAAACAUGUAUGUAUGUAUGUAUGUAUGUAUGUAUUUGAGGGCAUUGUCGAAAAUCUAUUCUUCCUACAUAGACAGGCUCAUAGUAUCUAACUCUUGACUUUUGUGUGGUUGAUGCUGGAUAUUGGAGGUCACAUAGAAUUGUCUGGCCUUGUAGGAUGUACAUGUACUUUUUCCUUACAGCAUGGAGAUGCAAUGGUUUUUUUUUUAAGAUUUCAGUUUAGAGAGAUAAAUAGAAUAACAUACUUAAUCUC